Molecule: ribosomal RNA, 253 nt
Filed under: uncultured bacterium
Lineage: Bacteria
Description: partial 16S ribosomal RNA
Rfam family: Bacterial small subunit ribosomal RNA
Source: RNAcentral
UACGUAGGGUGCAAGCGUUGUCCGGAAUUAUUGGGCGUAAAGAGCUCGUAGGCGGUCUGUCGCGUCGGCUGUGAAAACUCGGGGCUCAACUCCGAGCUUGCAGUCGAUACGGGCAGGCUAGAGUUCGGCAGGGGAGACUGGAAUUCCCGGUGUAGUGGUGAAAUGCGUAGAUAUCGGGAGGAACACCAGUGGCGCAAGCGGCUGACUGACCGAAACCUGACGCUGAGACGCGACGGCGUGGGGAGCAAACCGG